GAUCCUGGCUCAGGACGAACGCUGGCGGCGUGCCUAACACAUGCAAGUUGAACGGAACUUUUUUGUAAAGAUUUCUUCGGAAUGAAUUUGAUUAAGUUUAGUGGCGGACGGGUGAGUAACGCGUGAGUAACCUGCCUCUAAGAUGGGAAUAACAUUCUGAAAAGAAUGCUAAUACCGCAUAAUAUAUAUUUAUCGCAUGGUAGAUAUAUCAAAGAUUUAUCGCUUAGAGAUGGACUCGCGUCCG
RNAcentral lists this ribosomal RNA (244 nucleotides) under uncultured bacterium. RNAcentral describes it as "partial 16S ribosomal RNA". It matches the Rfam family "Bacterial small subunit ribosomal RNA", at positions 15 to 239 of the family's 1533-position model. The record is from RNAcentral.